CUUUUUUUUUUUUUUUUUAAAUCAGGAAUCAUGUCUGAAAGCUGCCACAACCAGUUGUAUAGGCAUGUCAAAAUGACUUUAUACAGUCAAUAUGAAACAAGCAUUAAAUAUUUUUUCUCAUGUUGUUGCUUUUAUCAUUAUGAAUUCCUUGCUUGUUGCCACCUAAGAUACGAUGGAGCAAGCACAGUCUUAAAGAAGAUUUGCUGAUUUUUUGUUUUUCUCAGCAGACCAGAGUAGGUAUGAUCAUCUUAUUGAGAAGUAUACAGUGCAAAAAAGGUUUUUCAAAACACUACAGGAUAAAUAACAAAUGAAUUCUUAAAACUGUUAAUCUCUGACAUCCAUAAAAAUUCAUCAGAGAGCAUUUUACUACUGAGCUGCAAAGGUAGGAAAAAUAAAUUUUUUUUGGUUAGAAAAUAUACUUCUUUCAUCUGCGUUUCAAUAAUUUAUUCCCCUUGUUAGAUAUACAUGGAAUUGAUAUUGCUUAUUCUGACUAAGUGAAAAGUGUUAUUUCUACUUACUGCUCAAUUAGAAACAUGUAGUGUUUAAUUGUCAGUUUGAAUUUUUCUUUCAUACUAUUACAGUUUAUAUUUUACUAUAGGCAGAAUUUCCUCUUUAUCCUAAAUUUUGAUAUUCUCCAUAAUUUCAUCGUGCCUUGACAUUGCUGUAUAUAAUUUCUAUACAUCAGGAAGGCAAUUCUGUGUGCAUGUGUGUGUGUAUAUAUAUAGUUAGAAGUUAGAAACUGAAACUCUUUUUUGUCUACCAUCAUUUCAUAUUUUUCUUGCUAUUUCAAACCUAUAAUUUUUAAAGAAACGACUAACGUAAUCAUUCAUAGAAUAUGCUGUCAGUAACUUAACAAUAUAAAUGUUAACAUGGAGGCAUUUAGUUCAGCAUUUGCUUUACUUAAUAGAGUGCAGAAAAUGUGGCCCUUUUCUCAGUUAGGGUGUAUGUGAAGAUAAAUUUAGAAUUUCUAGACUAGUAAAUACUUCUCUGAUAAUAACUUAAUUAUAGCUAUUUCAAACCAAAUUGUUUAAUUGUGGUGAAUCAUAUGUAAAUUGUUCAGAUGUAGGUCAACACCCACGCCCACAUUCUAGCACCUCUUUCCUAAUUCAAGACAACUUUGCAGUGCCUAAAAGAGCUGAACAGUGCAGAUUAGAGACAUAAGACAAAAAAAAAAAAAAAA
This 1180-nucleotide long non-coding RNA is filed under the name Homo sapiens (human). Its description in RNAcentral is "mir-99a-let-7c cluster host gene". Lineage: Eukaryota; Metazoa; Chordata; Mammalia; Primates; Hominidae. The record is from RNAcentral.